GAUGAAUGCUGGCGGCGUGCCUAACACAUGCAAGUCGAGCGGCAGCGCGGGGUGCUUGCACCCUGUCGGCGAGCGGCUAACGGCUGAGUAACGCGUAGGUAUUUGCCCCCAAUUUAGGAAUAACUGCCCGAAAGGGUCUCUAAUUCCUCCUAUGUUCUUCGGAUUAAAGGAUUUAUCCGCUUUGGGAGAAGCCUGCGUUGGAUUAGGUUGUUGUUAGGGUAAUGGCCUACCAAGCCGACGAUCCAUAGCUGGUCUGAGAGGAUGAUCAGCCAGACUGGAACUGAGACACGGUCCAGACUACUACGGGAGGCAGCAGUGAGGAAUCUACCACAAUGGGCGAAAGCCUGAUGGAGCAACGCCGCGUGAAGGAUGAAGGCGUGCGGGUUGUAAACUUCUUUUAUGAGUGAAGAAUAUGACGGUAACUCAUGAAUAAGCACCGGCUAACUACGUG
Molecule: ribosomal RNA, 451 nt
Filed under: uncultured bacterium
Lineage: Bacteria
Description: partial 16S ribosomal RNA
Rfam family: Bacterial small subunit ribosomal RNA
Source: RNAcentral